This is an RNA transcript of Pomacea canaliculata, 6541 nucleotides long. RefSeq lists it as uncharacterized. NCBI's taxonomy places the organism in Eukaryota, Metazoa, Mollusca, Gastropoda, Architaenioglossa, Ampullariidae. The transcript has 9 exons. The record is from RefSeq and is a predicted model, not a curated record.
UGAAGAGAACAAGGAAGAAAUACAAGACAAGACCGAGUGGAAGUUAACAUUUCCUUCCGUGCCUUACUGGACGAAUUUAUUGUAUGUCUGUGUGAAAAGCCUGAGCCUCGUAUUAGUAUUUCUAGACUUCUCAAUAUGAAGAGUUUAAACAGCUUAAGACCUUGUGCUUCUGCUUGUCUAGCCGUCCUUGUGAUUUUAUGUGUUGAGUACGGAGCAGGUCUACGGUUAACGUUUCCCGACAUCAGUGAUGACGUCAUCACAGCGGCAGAGAACUCCGAGAUACGUAUACCCUUUGGAGUUGCCGACCUUGAUGGCGUUACCGAUCCUUUUUUCAUCAACUUGGACAUUCAUAAUGAUUCGAGUGAUGCUACAAAGACACAAUUGUUGUGUCUAAUAACUUACCACACAAGUACCAUGUCAUACACAGUGGAUGAAAUGAUGAACUGCUCCGUUCCACCAGGAGGCGACACUGUGGUGUUUACCAGGACUGUGUCUCGUCAGGAUGACAAAGCCACGUUGAGGUGGACACUGUCACCACAUGGAGUUGAGAAAAGAUUACGGCUUAAUGUCACCUAUCCACCCACUAUAACCAGUCUCACCUUUGACUACGAUUCUAAUAAAACAACGAAAACGAUUCCGAGACGAGGAAAGUUACAACUGAACUGUGCUUGGAACAACGGCAACCCGCCUACAGCAGUCCGUCUUCUGAACAACAAGGGAGAGUUGUUGACAGAAAACAACAACAGCGACAACACCUUCCCUGACAUACGAGUUGAAUCAUGUCAACUGUAACCUCACGGGUGUGUUCACGUGCCAGACGGCGGGUGCAGAGGUCAACAGGAGCGUAACUCUCUUGGUUCAGUGUCCACCGGUAUUCAGGGCGACAGAAGACGUGAAUGAGAGAUUUACGGCAGGUGAGACAGUGAUGUUGAGUUUUCAUGUAGUGUCACACACGAGUGACAUCACACAGUGUCGUCUGCGUCAACUGUCGUCAGACAUGCAUGCAGCACAUGACUUCUAUCGACUAAACAGUACUUUUACCUGUUCGCUGACCGGACAGCCCCCUGACCUGGAACUGUCCGUUGUCAUGUUUAAUGUCAGUGACAGUGAGGAGGGCGACUGGCAUCUCGAGCUGUCUAAUGAGGAAGGAAGCACCUCCACCCAGUUUUCUCUUCACACGGAAAAAAGCUUGGACCUUACUGGAUUACUUUCCCUGCCUAUUUAACAUUCGAGUUCCUGGUUUAUCAGGGGAAGUAAUGGAAUUGGAAGGAGAGAACUCGCUAAGAGUGAAUGACUUACUUUACAUUUAAUACUUUUGAUUGCGCGAGGUCACCAAAUCUUAUCUCCACCCCUCGCUUCGGUGCUGGUUUUGGUAACUUAGAGGUUAAUUAGUUUUCAUGUCAUGCAAUUCUAAUAAUUGCAAGCAAAGCUGCUAUGUAUUGUCCUAAUCUGUACUAUAAUUAUAGUAUAACUAGUUAGGAGAAACACUUGAAGAAAAGACAUAGAGACACUCGCAUGAAUUCGUUCAUAGGAAAAGAUUUAGCUUGCAAUAUGUAAUUGUUAAAAAUCUUUUAAGCAAGUCCAUUUGCGGUAUCUCCUUAUGUUCACAUACACGAAUUUUAGACAAUUCAUUUUAAAAAAAUUAUUCGCAAUACGACUUACAGACCUUUUGAUAUGUUCGAACACAAAUGGUGUUGCCCCUCCCCUUCCAAAAAAAAAAAAAAGUAUAAUCUUGAAACAAAAUUCACGCCUGUAUACAGACGACAUGUGUCUUAAAAGCAGUCUUUCUCGCUGAAUGAAAGGAAAUAAAUUGUUCUUCACAUGACGGAUAUGCAGAAAAGUAAUAAACGGUGACUUGUCCCUUACAGAUAGAACGUGGACAGUGGCGACUAGAAGAUCUUCAAGCUGUAUAUUACAAAACAGGUCUACGGUUAACGUUUCCCGACAUCAAUGAUGACGUCAUCACAGCGGCAGAGAACUCCGAAAUACGUAUACGCUUUGGAGUUGCCGACCUUGGAGGCGUUACCGAUCUUUUUUUCAUCGGCUUGGACAUUAGUAACGAUUCGAGUGGGGCUACAAAGGCUCAAUUUUUGUGUGUAAUAACUUACAACACAAGUGCCAUGUCAUUUCUAGUGGAUGAGAAGAUGGACUGUUUUGUUUCACCUGGAGCCGACACUGUGGUGUUUUUCAAAACCGUGUCUCGUCAGGAUGACAAAGCCACGUUGAGGUGGACAGUGACACCACAUGGAGUUGAGAAACGCUUACGGCUUAACGUCACCUAUCCUCCCAUCAUAACCAGCCUCACUUUUACUGAUGAACCGAAAGUGACAACGAAAAUAGUUCAGAAGGGCGAGAUGGUACAGCUGACCUGUUCAUGGGUUCACGGCAACCCGCCCACAGCAGUCCGUCUUCUACACAGCAAGAGACAGCAGAUGAUGACAGAAAUCUCCGACAGCAGCAAGAACAACCUGACCUAUGAACUGAACCCAGGUCACCUGCGACCACAUGGGUGUGUUCACGUGUCAGGCGGCAGGAGCAGAGGUCAACAGAAGUGUGACACUCUUGGUUCAGUGCUCACCCCAAUUGCUAGCUCCAGAUAAGAUCGUAACGGUCACUGGCACACGAGGACAAUCAGUGACCUUGAGUUACAACUUCCUGUCACACACAACCAACAUCACACAGUGUCGUCUUCGUAAACUUCCAUCAAGCGCAAGCCAUAACCUCGAAGUGCUUCGUCUAACGGCUACCUUUAACUGUUGGCUGACAGGACGGCCUCCUGACCUCAACCUGACCGUUGUCAUGCAGGACGUCAGUGACACUGACCAGGGAAUGUGGCAACUAGAAGUGACCAAUGGCUGGGGAACAAACUCUGUUAACUUCUCUCUCUUGUUGAGCAACGGUAUGCUGAGAAAAGCAGCUCUUUCUUUUUGUUAUAGAAAUUAUUCUUGUCGAUGCCCGUGAAUACAAUCUCUGUAAGACAGUAACAAAACUGAACCAAAAAUAACAGGGACUAGAAACAUCAUGAGACACUUUGUCCCAAACAAAUUUUCAGUCCACGUUAAGUGAUAAAGCAGAUAUAAGUGCAAACAAGUAAUGCACGAAAGAGGACAGGGAAUGGAAGAAGCAUCAGAAGAAGACUUGUCGGUUACCCAGAUAACAUCAAAAAUUAACUCUGCAGCCCAUCUUCUAGCUUCAUCAUUCUACUGCAAGUUUGUUUCAAUAGUAUUACUAGCAAUGGUGGUUGUAGAGGCAAAAAAUAGAAGUAAUUAAUAAUUACAAGAGGGGGAUAACUAAAAUAAUGACUUUGUAGGAAGGUAAGGGGAGAUUAGCCAACAAGAAAUGAAAAGUAUACAUGGGUAUAUGAGUCAGUAAGACUGAUAGGUAUGUAUAUGAUAUGAGUGUAGAUGUCAAAGGUAUGAGAGAAUUCUUGAUUUUGCAUAUUUUACAUUGUAUUUAACUGUUAAAUAUUGCUAUACCAAUCCAUAAACAUUCAGCUUACUCUCCUUUACACGAGAGCGCGCGCGCGCACACACACACACACAGACAUGUAGGCACGCACAUCUGCAGGUAACAUAAUAACAAACGCACUUACCUUUUCGAAAUCACUUUGAGUGUCACAUAUAAUUAAUUAAACAAAAAUCAUCUAUAUGCUCACAUCCGGACCUGGUCAACAUACGCAGAUUACACUGUGACAAAAUAUGACAUACUCGCAUGCCACGCAGAUACCUAGAAAAAACAUAACAUCAGUAAAAGAGUUCACACCUGUACUUAAGUGUGUGGGGGGAGUGGGGUGGGGGUGUUGCAUGUAGUGUGAAUAUUUCCCUGCGCCUCGCUUUCGUGCCGGAUGAGCCUCUUGAGAGUGGUUUGCUGCAAAUUACCAAUCGCCUUCAUCGUCGGUCAAUAUUCACUCGACAAACAGCGGAUACCGCGGUAAAAAUAAGGGAUUUUACUGUCACCGCUGAAAAUACCUAUCACCUACUUUCCAGUCCCUUCACGAAUCCACGAUUGCUUCUUCCCCCCCCCCCCUUCCUUUGGACAGCAGACACCGUGACAAUGACAAGGGAAGCAACCACAAACUUUAAUUCUUUAAUUCCGUGGCAGUAGCUUUAUCGAUGGUCUUAUUGUGCUAUUCGCGUAGUUUAUAGACUUUUUUAACAACACAGGGGUGAAAACAACAUUCAACUCCAAGAUCAAACGUAUGUACAUUUAUUGUAUACUUUAUAUAAUUUGAUUAUUUUAGCCAUUUUAGCCUUAGAUAUCUAAAUAACUUACUGACUUCUUAAUUUUCGAACGCUUUUUUUACUACUGUGUCCUCUUUUUCUUCUUGCUUUCCUAAAUGUUCUUUCAUCUUUUUAUGCUGAAUUAAAUCAUGUCAUGUUCUGUUGAUGUUGUAUGUAAUGUUAUAAUGUUACCAUUGGCAUACUCAAUAAUUUUCUGAAAAAUUAACAAAGCUUGUAUUUUGUAUAAAUUGAAUCUAGAGCACUGUACAUAACACUGUAAUUAAAACAUCGUUAGGAAAAAAAUAUUACCGCUAUCAAUAUCAUCAGUUCCUGUUUCAGUCUUGGACUUACUGGAUUACUCCCCCUGCCUAUCUAACGUUCGCGUACCUGAUUUAUCAAGGGAGGACAAUCGCGUCAUCACUGCUUUCAAUUUAGAAAAAAUGAAAGUGAGAGAGAGAGCCAGCGAGACCUCCUCAGACACAGGAGAUGGGGUGAUGACGGAUGUAAGGCAAAGAAAAAUAUACAGAUAUAACAUGAACCAGAUUAUCGUUAGUAUUGCUUUAAACAGACAGACAGCCAAAAGAAUAUAAAACGCGGAGAGGUCUAAGAAAUGUAUAGCUUAAAACUCUCUCCGCGUUGUUCGCGGUAGAGAGAUGAUGUCCGACUAGGGUAGAGUCGUACAGCAACACAUCGCGCUAUGAAUGCAAAAGGGAGAAUGGGAGAAAACUCCUGGUACAUUCAGCAGAUUUGUUCUAGCAUGGAUUACUUCCCUUCAACUGCUAGAGGAAGAAAGGGGAAGGGGGGUUGUGAUACUUGAAAGUAGGAAUGUGUUAGUUGACCAAGCUAGGAAGUUAAUCCACGGUAAAUCAACCAACAUUUCUUUUUUUCGUUAUUUAUUCUAAUGUAUGCCCCCGAACACUGCAGCUUACACUGUACAAAAAAGAAGGCAACCCUUUCCCUAGCACAUACUGCGCCAAGCAAGAUUAUAAAUCUGUUUAAUCUGUCUCUUCUUAGCAAUAUACAAAUGUCUUGUUCUGGAUUUUAAUGUACACUGUAACUUACAACAGUUUCAUCAAUCAAAUGCAACAGGUCUUUUAUUUAGACAGGGACAAAGUAACAUCACGCAUCUGUGUACACAAAAACUUAUUUAAAUUUAAAAAGAAUGUUUACAGAAUAAGAGCCAUUUACUGACCCUAUGAUAUCACUUUUACACUAGACCACCCCUCACCAAAUCAAAUUUGUGCCACCUUUACCUGUUAGAAGCAGGGGUUGUAUAGCUGGAUAAAUAAACAUUAUAAACUAAGUACCAUUUGUUGUCAUCAACCAGAUCAUCCCUAUGUAUUUUAGUGACAAUAUCUAUAUUUCUCAUAUCUCUGAGCUCAUUAUUUGAUUCUUGAAAUUUCAUGACCCCUAUCAAGAAAAAAAAAUCUCUAGAUGACAGCACCUUCGCUCAUUUUCGACCCUUCUCUAUCCAACAUUCAGAUACUGCAUACCACUUCCAAGUCUAAACCAGUCUCUCUUCCAAUCUGUGGAACCAGCUCCAACAACCACCCCUCAUUUCUUUUCUUCUAUCAUUGCAGUUCACAUAUAAAAGCGUUCAUUAAUAUCAUGCAGGAAAUUGAAAGAAAUAGCUUGCCUGCACUCCAGCCUCUUUUCUGGUACGUGUUAGAAAUUUGGAAUGGACUAACACUGUCAAGUCAGUAGGUCUUGGUGCUUGCUGUGCAUAGCCACCAUCUGGUUACAUAUUAUCCCAGAAAGGCUUACGUACCCUGUUCUUAAAUAUGAGAAUGGAUGUUUAUUUCCAUGAUGAUUUGAAGUCCAGAUGUUGAGUGAAUUUGUGAUUUUCAAGUUUCAACUGACGUUUUUAGUUUAGUGAUCUCAGUGUUUUCUGGCAUAAUUAGACCAAGGCAGACAAUUACUGAGUUGCUAACACCUUCUAAUGCAAAAAUUAAAAUAACAAAGCCAGUGGCGUUUUUAGAAUUUUAUUUCAAUAUUUAUAAGCUGAGUACAACUAAGUUUCCAUAAAACUGCUUUUCAGAUUGGACAAAAUAGUUUUUAACUCAGUUAACAUUUAAAGCAAGAGUCAAUUUUUUCAAUGUCUGCAUUACUAUUCCAAAUAUGUUUCCUUUGUUUAAAAUGAGUAGCAUAUACUCUCUUCAAGCUCUACAGGGUGUGGUCUGCAGAUGUGUGUGGUAAGAAUAUGAACAUGUUGCAUGCCUCUGUGUCUCCCUAGGUAGUGUACGCGCGAUGCAUGUGUGUGCCUAUGAAUGCAUCACUGGUGAAGGAAUGUGUGUCCGAUACUAGAAACCAAAGCUUUCACA